UAUAGCUUUUUAAGCCUGAAAGAAUCAAAUCUUUCUUCGUUCCAGCCAAAGAGUCCUUAAUUUCGUUUGCCCAUUCAGCGCUCAUCUCUUCUAAAUCGUCCAUAGUAUUUUCAAUUCCUCCUAACAUAUUCCCCCGUUGGGCUAAAUGGUCGUUUAUUUGAGCGAAGAAUCCUUUCUGUUGUUGUUGCCUUCUUGGAGGGAUAUAACUUUGAGCAGACUGAGAAGUCAUGGAAGGAACCGGGGUCAGUGGUUGCUUAACUGAUUCUGCUGGGCGAGCUGAAAUAACUUUAGGAGUCUCUAAAGUAUGCACUUUACUUUCAGCCCUGUUUUCACCUCCGAGUAAGAUAUCUAGCUCUUCAGCAGAUGUAGACUGUUCGCCCAGUAACCAAUUCCACAAGGAUUUACUAGGUCUUGGCGGUACAUGGGAAGCAUUGUGAGUAAUAAGCAUCAUGGGUGCCAAAUUCGCCAAUGUUCUCCCACUUCCUAAAACACAGCCAAAGGCUAAUUCAUGUGCUCCUAACGUUGGGAAAAUAUAAUCCCCAUUGCCUAGAAUAUCACCUUCUUUGAGCCUAAUGGAAUAGUUAGCAAAUUCAUUUCAAGUAAACACCUUACCUAUUUUUAUCAAUAUCCAAUGGAAGUUGCAUUUUACGUUCCUCACGAAGGUUUGGGAGAGAAUACCAAUUCACCGAAAGAUCAGAAUUUACGCAAACUACGGAACCCAUGUGUUUGGAAACAGUAGAAAGCACAAGAGCUGCUCGACAACAAACAGGUUUUCUCCAAUCCAGGUUACCCACUUGAUUAUUAAUUUUAUUAAAAACAGAAAUUCCUGAAUCGCCAAUAUACACGAGGAAAACUUCCUGUGGUAAGGGAUAUCCAACGCUUUGUAAUGAGGAUCCAGUGGCUGUCGCGAUCUGGCCAUCUUGAGUUAAAGAGCAUAUUUUAUAAAUGUUCUUAAUAUCUAAUUGUCGAGAUGAUUCAAAAUAAGCAGAAAAGCGCCCUGAAGAGGAAGGGUCUAUACGGAAUAAAAGUGUCAUCCCUCUAUAUGUUCCUGUGACUACGUAGAUUGAGGAAGGGCUUCCUUUAGGGUUCAUAACGACAAACUCGGCACUCGUAAGAAAAUCGGGAUCAGGUUUUCCUCUUCUCUCUAAUCCAAGCUCCGAGAUGCUGGUGUUACACAGUAUAUGGGGGCCACGCAUGUCGAUGAUUGUAAUUCCACCAUCCUGAUAUCCUAUACAAACAAAACCAAUAUUGCUCAUUUGGUUCAAUGUUACUCUUCCUCGUUUAAGAUCAAUAUAAUAUUGAGCAUGUAAUGUUCCCUCUAGAACUAAGGUAUCGUCCAAACGAUAUAUUCCGUUAGCGAGCUGAGCUGGUAAAUUUUCUUUAUGAUUUUUCCUUUUGCAAACAAUGACACGCCCAAAACUAUCAGCACAACUGAAUUCUGGAUUAUAAGUGGAAAAAGAGGCAGUAGUUAUAAAAGCUGAAGGCGUGAGAUGCUUUCGCAUUACAGAAGAGAAAUCCAAAUUUACGCAGAGAGAUGGAUUCAUAAAACCCUGAGAUAUAUCCCAAAUCGAUAAACUAAGACCAGUCGAUGUUAUAAGUAGAUUACGCUCAUCUAAUUUCUUAAGAUAGCCGGGACUAGGAGAUCCGCCAAAAAGACAGGAGUAAUGUGAAUUAACGGAAAUAGUAUCUUCAAUUUGAUUCCAAACUUUUUUUGUUACAGUUUGAAAUGCUAUAACUCGAAAAUCUGAAGCAAGGAAGCAUAAAGAGGGGGGAAUAGAAAGGCUCAUGUUUGAAAUAUUUCCAGUAGAAAUGUCGAGCAGCGAUAACGAGUUGUCUUCCGAAAGAAGGAGAAGAUUCUUGGGAUUAUGAGAUCCAUUGUAAUGUGGUGAGCUAGAAGGAAUCACCAGCAUAUCACGUACAGGGGGGAUGUCAAUAAAAGGAAAAAAGCGUUGUGAGUUUGGAUUUGCGAAAAAUUCCGCAAAUGUUUCAACAUCCUUUUUGGCAGGGAGAUUUCGAUAACUGAACAAUGAAAUUCCCUUUACCGGUGCUUCUUUCGGCAAACCACCUAACAUCAAAAUAAAUGAAACUGUUGGGUCUUCACAACAACACCACCUCAUAGACCUAAUGGGCUCAAGCUCCGUCUUAGGAGGAUUUCUCUGCAUGGGGGUAUACGUGUGUAUGUUUGAAUCGACAAAAUUUCGGACUUGUACAGGAUAUUCUUGAUCCACAUCCCAGAAUGCAAAAGUCGAAUCAGUAUAGUAACUAACAAAGUGAUCACCCCAAGGACUCCACUCUAUCCCUUUGACUAUAGGUCUUCGAUAAUUAUGGGGUGAUAAAACUGCAGCUGUACUACCUGGUGCAUACUCCAAUUCAUAAAAGCGUAUAACUUCGUCAGUCCUUAUUGAGUACAAAACAACGCCAUCCGGAUAUGCAAUCAAAAUCACACCGAGAUCCUUCGGGUGAAUCUGAACGCUUACAACUGGGGAUAGCUUUCCAGGAACUGGUGCAUAAGAGUAGCCUGAAAAUUAGUAAUAAAUUCAAAUAAACAACAAUGACCUCAACGUACCCAUCAUUCGCCAUUCCUCGUGUCUUGGGACAUACAAAUUUGGAACUUUGAAUUUUCCAAGGCAAUGUCUAGUAACAUCCCAUGGCACAACGGAGCCAUCACUCAUUCCAAAAAAAACCCAAUCAAUAGUAGGAUCCGUUACGGUACAUGUAACUUUUUGCUUGAGAAAGUAAGUGGCAGCUGGUUUUGAAAGGUCACGAUGUUUCAUCAAGGGAUAGCUUAAGACCGUAUUUCGAGAGUCAAUUACAAUCAAAUACGCCGCACAAAGGGCUAUAUGGACAAUGGUUGAACAGUCUGGAACUAUCACACUCUGGACAUGCUGUUUACCGUAAAUGUAUAUCCGAUUAGUACUAGAUACAAUAGCUAGUAAGCCUUGUUGAUGGUCUAAACACCAUAAUACUGGAUUUAAGGAAAACCCAAAUCGAUUCAACUAAUCUUUGUUAUUAAACAUUCAACAAGCAUUGCUUCCCUACUUACGUCGU
Schizosaccharomyces pombe (fission yeast) is the source of this 3048-nucleotide non-coding RNA. NCBI's taxonomy places the organism in Eukaryota, Fungi, Ascomycota, Schizosaccharomycetes, Schizosaccharomycetales, Schizosaccharomycetaceae. The record is from the annotation of a GenBank genome assembly.